Molecule: ribosomal RNA, 459 nt
Filed under: uncultured bacterium
Lineage: Bacteria
Description: partial 16S ribosomal RNA
Rfam family: Bacterial small subunit ribosomal RNA
Source: RNAcentral
CCUACGGGUGGCAGCAGUGAGGAAUAUUGGUCAAUGGCCGGAAGGCUGAACCAGCCAAGCCGCGUGAAGGACGAAGGUGCCAAGCAUCGUAAACCUCUUUUGUCAAGGGACAAAAUCAGGCACGAGUCCCCGACUGAGUGUACCUGAAGAAAAAGCAUCGGCUAACUCCGUGCCAGCAGCCGCGGUAAUACGGAGGAUGCGAGCGUUAUCCGGAUUUAUUGGGUUUAAAGGGUGCGUAGGCGGGCUGUUAAGUCAGCGGUAAAAGCCCGGGGCUCAACCCCGGCGAGCCGUUGAAACUGGCUGUCUCGAGAUGUAGAGAGGUAUGCGGAAUGCGCAGUGUAGCGGUGAAAUGCUUAGAUAUUGCGCAGAACUCCGAUUGCGAAGGCAGCAUGCCGGCGGCGCUCUGACGCUGAGGCACGAAAGCGUGGGUAUCGAACAGGAUUAGAUACCCGAGUAGUC